Non-coding RNA from Amborella trichopoda, 632 nucleotides. NCBI's taxonomy places the organism in Eukaryota, Viridiplantae, Streptophyta, Magnoliopsida, Amborellales, Amborellaceae. The record is from RefSeq and is a predicted model, not a curated record.
UUAUUCUUGCAUUCACGCUAUCGUAGUCUUUAUAACAUUUUGUAUGGAUUCUUCUUCUGUGCGAUUGUUUAUUCUUUUGUGACCGCUUCUGUGAAAUUUUUUUUCUGUAGUUCGGACGCCCACUAUAUGGGAACGUUUUUAGUAUCCAACAACAAGAACAACCAAUUAUGAGAGGAACUUGUUGAUAACAGUAAGCAUUGGGAUGACUUGGAGGAAGAGGAGGAACAAAUGGAAGAAGAGGAAUUGGAGGCCGGUAUUCAAUCAGUUGCCAGCAUCUCUCUCUCUCACUCUCUCUCUCUCUAUAAGAGGAAGCGCAAGAUGUAGGAAAAAGGAAGGGAAGGCAAAGAAGAAGGAUUUCAAGUUUUAGGCACAAAGCUAUACAUCAAAUUUGCAUAGCAUGAAUGCUCCCCCUCCCCCAUUGGAUAUAUUCUGUUUGGUUAAUAUAUUGUGAACUGUGAAAUUUGAAGGAUCUGACACAUUGAAAGUUCUUAUUGACAUGUAAAAUGUGAAGUGCUUUUGUCGCCUUAAUGAAUGGACAGGGCAACUAGUUGUACUAUUGAGGUAGGAGUGAUGUUUAAAGGGAAUUUGAUUAGUGAAUCCAUUUUGAGUUCAUCGAUGAACUUAACUGGGCC